UCAGCAGCACAGGUAGACUGAAGCCCUCUCUCCACAGAGCAGGUAUGGCCAGGCAGUGGCAGGGCAAGCUUCCCCAACACCAUCCCCAUCCCUCACUGGGUUUCCUUGCAGGGUGAGAGGGGAGCUUAGUCUCCAAUGCCCAGUCAAUCCUCACUUUCU
This 159-nucleotide small RNA is filed under the name Chelonoidis abingdonii (Abingdon island giant tortoise). Its description in RNAcentral is "TUC338 (ENSCABG00000022839.1)". Lineage: Eukaryota; Metazoa; Chordata; Testudines; Testudinidae. The record is from RNAcentral.